This 1468-nucleotide ribosomal RNA is filed under the name metagenome. RNAcentral's name for it is "bacterial SSU rRNA". It matches the Rfam family "Bacterial small subunit ribosomal RNA". The record is from RNAcentral.
AGAGUUUGAUCAUGGCUCAGAUUGAACGCUGGCGGCAGGCCUAACACAUGCAAGUCGAACGGUAACAGGAAGAAGCUUGCUUCUUUGCUGACGAGUGGCGGACGGGUGAGUAAUGUCUGGGAAACUGCCUGAUGGAGGGGGAUAACUACUGGAAACGGUAGCUAAUACCGCAUAACGUCGCAAGACCAAAGAGGGGGACCUUCGGGCCUCUUGCCAUCGGAUGUGCCCAGAUGGGAUUAGCUAGUAGGUGGGGUAACGGCUCACCUAGGCGACGAUCCCUAGCUGGUCUGAGAGGAUGACCAGCCACACUGGAACUGAGACACGGUCCAGACUCCUACGGGAGGCAGCAGUGGGGAAUAUUGCACAAUGGGCGCAAGCCUGAUGCAGCCAUGCCGCGUGUAUGAAGAAGGCCUUCGGGUUGUAAAGUACUUUCAGCGGGGAGGAAGGGAGUAAAGUUAAUACCUUUGCUCAUUGACGUUACCCGCAGAAGAAGCACCGGCUAACUCCGUGCCAGCAGCCGCGGUAAUACGGAGGGUGCAAGCGUUAAUCGGAAUUACUGGGCGUAAAGCGCACGCAGGCGGUUUGUUAAGUCAGAUGUGAAAUCCCCGGGCUCAACCUGGGAACUGCAUCUGAUACUGGCAAGCUUGAGUCUCGUAGAGGGGGGUAGAAUUCCAGGUGUAGCGGUGAAAUGCGUAGAGAUCUGGAGGAAUACCGGUGGCGAAGGCGGCCCCCUGGACGAAGACUGACACUCAGGUGCGAAAGCGUGGAGAGCAAACAGGAUUAGAUACCCUGGUAGUCCACGCCGUAAACGAUGUCGACUUGGAGGUUGUGCCCUUGAGGCGUGGCUUCCGGAGCUAACGCGUUAAGUCGACCGCCUGGGGAGUACGGCCGCAAGGUUAAAACUCAAAUGAAUUGACGGGGGCCCGCACAAGCGGUGGAGCAUGUGGUUUAAUUCGAUGCAACGCGAAGAACCUUACCUGGUCUUGACAUCCACGGAAGUUUUCAGAGAUGAGAAUGUGCCUUCGGGAACCGUGAGACAGGUGCUGCAUGGCUGUCGUCAGCUCGUGUUGUGAAAUGUUGGGUUAAGUCCCGCAACGAGCGCAACCCUUAUCCUUUGUUGCCAGCGGUCCGGCCGGGAACUCAAAGGAGACUGCCAGUGAUAAACUGGAGGAAGGUGGGGAUGACGUCAAGUCAUCAUGGCCCUUACGACCAGGGCUACACACGUGCUACAAUGGCGCAUACAAAGAGAAGCGACCUCGCGAGAGCAAGCGGACCUCAUAAAGUGCGUCGUAGUCCGGAUUGGAGUCUGCAACUCGACUCCAUGAAGUCGGAAUCGCUAGUAAUCGUGGAUCAGAAUGCCACGGUGAAUACGUUCCCGGGCCUUGUACACACCGCCCGUCACACCAUGGGAGUGGGUUGCAAAAGAAGUAGGUAGCUUAACCUUCGGGAGGGCGCUUACCACUUUGUG